Molecule: long non-coding RNA, 1676 nt
Organism: Canis lupus familiaris (dog)
Lineage: Eukaryota; Metazoa; Chordata; Mammalia; Carnivora; Canidae
Exons: 9
Source: RefSeq, a predicted model, not a curated record
GUCGGAUAGGGGUGGAGUUGGGGGAGUGCUGAAGGAGAACAUCACCCAAGAGUAUCAACUCUUCAAUGCAUUACAGGAAAAUUUUGGAUGAUUCCUGAGAACACUAUUUAACACACUGGCAUUAAUUUGAUGCAGAAAGAGAAGUUCAGUCUGAAGGCCAGAUGUAGCUUCUGAACUACACUGCUACCACAAUUACCUCAGGGACUUUCCUGACUCACAGGCUAUCUAGGACAGGUAGAGGACAGAUGGCAGGCAUAGUAGAAUGAAACUCUGCGAUGUCAUUAGUGGCUACAACUCUAAGAGCCCUAUCUUUCUAGAUGAUCACUAGAUCAUCUAGUGAACGAUGAUCCUUGAAGCUGAAGAAUGUGAGGAAAAUUGUGAAGAGGAAAGAAUAGGACAAAGGGAUUCCAUGUAUGAACCAACAUAAGUCCUGGGCUAUACCUCCAAGCUGUGCAUGUGUGGAAUAUACCCAAACACAUAGCAAAGGCUUUGAAACCUGAACUGACAGUGGAACGUCUGCAGAAGACUGAAGGCUUUUUGAACUAUGUGCUAACAGGAAUGCAGUUGACAACCUAAUGACCUAGAUCUGCUCCCAGGGGUUCUAGAUGAGCAGGAAGACCCACAAAAGGCCUUCAGAAGCCAAAUGGGCUACUCAUCAAGGAGGAGCUGGAAAUAGCCUUGAUGGAGUCCAGAAAUUCAAGUUCUCAUCCCGGCACCUUCAUUCAUUACCUCCAUGACCACAGGCAACUCUCUUAGCCACCAGAGUUCGGUUUCCUUAUUGGUAAAGUGUGGUAAGGAAAAGGACUGGUAGUUUAUCUUCACUUACAGCUCUGAGUUAUCAUUCAUUAAUAAACAUGUCACCACAUUCCCACCAGAGGUGAGGAAGAAUUGGGCUGUUUCCAACCUAAAGAUCAGGAUACCCAUAUCCUUACAAAUGAGAAUUAUCCAAAAUCGUUCCAAGUACCUAAAGAAAGCAACAAUGUACCUAUGGCAUAGCAUUGUCCUUGACACUCAAAAGUAGCAUAAAACUGGAGAGGAAAAUGCCCUUCCUCAAGCCCACUGGCCAGAACCAUAGAAUUUUGAACCUGGAAGAAACCUUAACUGGAGACUCGGGUUUAAGCAUUCUUACUGAACACCUCAGGACAUGGGACACAUCAAUCUCUUUCCUCAAGGAAUUUACAGUCCAAUUUGAGGAGAUAAGAAAUGAACUCAUGAAAAACAUUUAAGGUGGAGCAUGUGUAGGCAAAGCAGAGGAGGAGAGACUGCUUCCUCAAGGUGGAAGAAGCCUUUAUGGAGGAAUCAGGGCCUAUAAGCCCCUGGAAGAUUCCCCACUUCUGAGUGCUGAGCUCUUGAUAUCACAGCCUUUGGUCCACCAUAAGACACUGAAGCACUGUAUCAGGAGGCUCCAGCUGCAGCAAAUAGGAUCCCAUCCCAAACAUAGCAUGAAGCAAGCAAUGGCCAACAGAAAGGGGAAGGAACACAACAAGGCACCCUUUAAAGUUGACUGGCCCUGAGACUUUGGCCCCUUUUCGGUGUCUUCUUGGACACUCAGACUUGGGUCCUCUUGUGAAACAGGGAGGGAAGGCCUUUAGGAAAAGACUGGUGGCAUUUCAAUUAUUUUGAUUUACUUUGAUUAUUCCCCCUUCUAAGUAAAUAAAUUAAUUCUGUAAUCAAGA